GACGAACGCUGGCGGCGUGCUUAACACAUGCAAGUCGAGCGGUAAGGCCUUUCGGGGUACACGAGCGGCGAACGGGUGAGUAACACGUGGGUGAUCUGCCCUGCACUUCGGGAUAAGCCUGGGAAACUGGGUCUAAUACCGGAUAUGACCUCCUAUCGCAUGGUGGGUGGUGGAAAGAUUUAUCGGUGCAGGAUGGGCCCGCGGCCUAUCAGCUUGUUGGUGGGGUAAUGGCCUACCAAGGCGACGACGGGUAGCCGACCUGAGAGGGUGACCGGCCACACUGGGACUGAGACACGGCCCAGACUCCUACGGGAGGCAGCAGUGGGGAAUAUUGCACAAUGGGCGAAAGCCUGAUGCAGCGACGCCGCGUGAGGGAUGACGGCCUUCGGGUUGUAAACUUCUUUCAGCAGGGACGAAGCGCAAGUGACGGUACCUGCAGAAGAAGCACCGGCUAACUACGUG
RNAcentral lists this ribosomal RNA (462 nucleotides) under uncultured bacterium. Its description in RNAcentral is "partial 16S ribosomal RNA". It matches the Rfam family "Bacterial small subunit ribosomal RNA", at positions 28 to 507 of the family's 1533-position model. The record is from RNAcentral.